Schistosoma mattheei is the source of this 47-nucleotide non-coding RNA. Lineage: Eukaryota; Metazoa; Platyhelminthes; Trematoda; Strigeidida; Schistosomatidae. The record is from Rfam.
AUAUUCCUGAAGAGUCCAAUAAUAGGACGAAACAACUAUUCAGUUAU